UUAAGUGACGAUAGCCUAGGAGAUACACCUGUUCCCAUGCCGAACACAGAAGUUAAGCCCUAGUACGCCUGAUGUAGUUGGGGGUUGCCCCCUGUUAGAUACGGUAGUUGCUUAGC
Molecule: ribosomal RNA, 116 nt
Filed under: Streptococcus salivarius
Lineage: Bacteria; Bacillati; Bacillota; Bacilli; Lactobacillales; Streptococcaceae
Also listed under: 10 other names
Source: RNAcentral